RNAcentral lists this ribosomal RNA (447 nucleotides) under uncultured bacterium. RNAcentral describes it as "partial 16S ribosomal RNA". It matches the Rfam family "Bacterial small subunit ribosomal RNA", at positions 29 to 523 of the family's 1533-position model. The record is from RNAcentral.
AACGAGCGCUGGCGGCAGGCUUAACACAUGCAAGUCGAGCGCCCCGCAAGGGGAGCGGCAGACGGGUGAGUAACGCGUGGGAAUCUACCCAUCACUACGGAACAACUCCGGGAAACUGGAGCUAAUACCGUAUACGUCCUUCGGGCGAGAGAUUUAUCGGUGAUGGAUGAGCCCGCGUUGGAUUAGCUAGUUGGUGGGGUAAUGGCCCACCAAGGCGACGAUCCAUAGCUGGUCUGAGAGGAUGAUCAGCCACACUGGGACUGAGACACGGCCCAGACUCCUACGGGAGGCAGCAGUGGGGAAUAUUGGACAAUGGGCGCAAGCCUGAUCCAGCCAUGCCGCGUGAGUGAUGAAGGCCCUAGGGUUGUAAAGCUCUUUCACCGGUGAAGAUAAUGACGGUAACCGGAGAAGAAGCCCCGGCUAACUUCGUGCCAGCCGCCGCAGUAA